Molecule: ribosomal RNA, 253 nt
Filed under: uncultured bacterium
Lineage: Bacteria
Description: partial 16S ribosomal RNA
Rfam family: Bacterial small subunit ribosomal RNA
Source: RNAcentral
UACGUAGGUCGCAAGCGUUAUCCGGAAUUAUUGGGCGUAAAGCGCGCGUAGGCGGUUUCUUAAGUCUGAUGUGAAAGCCCGUGGCUCAACCACGGAGGGUCAUUGGAAACUGGGGAGCUUGAGUGCAGAAGAGGAGAGUGGAAUUCCACGUGUAGCGGUGAAAUGCGUAGAGAUGUGGAGGAACACCAGUGGCGAAAGCGGCUCUCUGGUCUGUCACUGACGCUGAGGCGCGAAAGCGUAGGGAGCGAACAGG